RNAcentral lists this ribosomal RNA (399 nucleotides) under uncultured bacterium. RNAcentral's name for it is "bacterial SSU rRNA". It matches the Rfam family "Bacterial small subunit ribosomal RNA", at positions 358 to 774 of the family's 1533-position model. The record is from RNAcentral.
GGAAUAUUGCACAAUGGGGGAAACCCUGACGCAGCGACGCCCCGUGAGUGAAGAAGUAUUUCGGUACGUAAAGCUCUAUCAGCAGGGAAGAAAAUGACGGUACCUUACUAAUAUGCCCCGGCUAACUACGUGCGAGCAGCCGCGGUAAUACGUAGGGGGCAAGCGUUAUCCGGAUUUACUGGGUGUAAAGGGAGCGUAGACGGCAGCGCAAGUCUGGAGUGAAAUCCCAUGGCUUAACCAUGGAACUGCUUUGGAAACUGUGCAGCUAGAGUGCAGGAGAGGUAAGCGGAAUUCCUAGUGUAGCGGUGAAAUGCGUAGAUAUUAGGAGGAACACCAGUGGCGAAGGCGGCUUACUGGACUGUAACUGACGUUGAGGCUCGAAAGCGUGGGGAGCAAACA